GUGAAAUCCAUUUGCUGAGGUCUGGUGCCUAACAAAAGGGAGAGCUGUUCAGUACAGGCAGCACCUCCUCAUCUAUCACCCUUAGCAAAUCCCUGGUUUAAGAGUUAAAGCAGGAACCAGAAGCAGCAUGGCAACAAUUUUUGAAUUCAUAUUAAUCCUUCAUUACCAAUUGCUGAAAAAGAGGAAGCAUUUGUGAUGUGUGUCCAUGCCCAUUCACACUGGCAGAACUGCUGCACAUAGGUGGUUGGGAUUUGCAUUUUCAGGCAAGCAGAUUACUCCCUUUCUUGGCCACCUCUUCUCUCAUGCUCCUUCCUCCCUUUGAAAUUCUCUUAUUGGAGGCCCAAAGAUGGCAGUCUCCUGCCCCAGACCACCUGGGGAAAAUGGUCUUUACUGAAAUGGAAGAUAUCUGCCAGUCCCCUUCUGAGAUGCUUCCUUGAUUGGCUGCCUGCA
Non-coding RNA from Zonotrichia albicollis (white-throated sparrow), 450 nucleotides. NCBI's taxonomy places the organism in Eukaryota, Metazoa, Chordata, Aves, Passeriformes, Passerellidae. The record is from RefSeq and is a predicted model, not a curated record.